AGAAAUGAAGUAAGACCCCUCAGAGAUGAUGAGGUAGAUAGGCUAGAAGUGGACAUGUGGUGACACAUGGAGCGGACUAGUACUAAUGGUUCGAGGACUUAACCAAG
This 107-nucleotide ribosomal RNA is filed under the name Weissella thailandensis. RNAcentral describes it as "partial 23S ribosomal RNA". It matches the Rfam family "Bacterial large subunit ribosomal RNA", at positions 2820 to 2925 of the family's 2925-position model. Lineage: Bacteria; Bacillati; Bacillota; Bacilli; Lactobacillales; Lactobacillaceae. The record is from RNAcentral.